Macaca mulatta (Rhesus monkey) is the source of this 105-nucleotide small nucleolar RNA. Lineage: Eukaryota; Metazoa; Chordata; Mammalia; Primates; Cercopithecidae. The record is from Ensembl.
AUCCUUUUGUAGUUCAUGAGGAUGAUGAUUGGGUAUUUCACACAUGUGUGUGAAAUGUGCCACCCUCAAACCUUGUUACAAUGUCAGCAUAUUACCUGCCUGACC